GACGAACGCUGGCGGCGUGCUUAACACAUGCAAGUCGAACGGAAAGGCCCUGCUUUUGUGGGGUGCUCGAGUGGCGAACGGGUGAGUAACACGUGAGUAACCUGCCCUUGACUUUGGGAUAACUUCAGGAAACUGGGGCUAAUACCGGAUAGGAUCUCCUGCUGCAUGGUGGGGGUUGGUAAGUUUCGGCGGUUGGGGGUUGACUCGCGGCUUAUCAGCUCGUUGGUGGGGUAGUGUCAUACCAAGGCUUUGACGGGUAGCCGGCCUGAGCGGAUGACCGGCCACAUUGGGACGGGGAUACGGCCCGGACUCCUACGGGAGGCAGCGGUGGGGAAUAUUACACAAUGGGCUGAAGCCAGAUGCAGCAACGCCGCGUGCGGGAUGACGGCCUUCGGGUUGUAAACCGCUUUCGCCUGUGACGAAGCGUGAGUGACGGUAAUGGGUAAAGAAGCACCGGCUAACUACGUG
Molecule: ribosomal RNA, 468 nt
Filed under: uncultured bacterium
Lineage: Bacteria
Description: partial 16S ribosomal RNA
Rfam family: Bacterial small subunit ribosomal RNA
Source: RNAcentral